This 453-nucleotide ribosomal RNA is filed under the name Triticum aestivum (bread wheat). RNAcentral's name for it is "partial small subunit ribosomal RNA". The record is from RNAcentral. Lineage: Eukaryota; Viridiplantae; Streptophyta; Magnoliopsida; Poales; Poaceae.
AUGUGGCCGGAACGAGUUAACGUCGCUAGUGGACAUAAUUCGCAAAAAAAAGUGGUGGUCAACCUCUCCUCUGCCUCCUUGGCAUUUCGCCAAACACAUAGCAGCCGCACCAGAUUGGCAGCCGGUGCAUCCCGCCGGCCGCUGCCCCAACGCUGCGUACGGCUGCUGCUCGCCGCCGGCCGCUGCCCCAACGCUUCGUACUUCUGUUGCUCGCCGCCGGUGCAUACCGCUGGCCGCUGCCCCAACGCUGCGUACUGCUGCUGCUCGCCGCCGGUGCUUGUGCUCGCCACACGUCCAGCUCGCCGCCCCCGCGCUGUAGAGGAUGGAGAGAGCAACCUCGGCGGCUCCCUCGGGGAGAGCUCGGCCGUGCUCUCGACGCCCUCGGGAAUCCCGGCACGCACCGGAGGCAGAGCAGGGCCAUGGCCAUCGCGUCGGUUGUCGGUCCCAGCAUGA